GUCUCAGGCCGGAUCAGCCUGAAGGCGCCCGAUCUCGUCUGAUCUCGGAAGUCUAAGCAGGGUCGGGCCUGGUUAGUAUCUUGGAUGGGAGACCACCUGGGAAUCCCGGGUGCUCGAGGCU
Ribosomal RNA from Bison bison bison, 121 nucleotides. The record is from Ensembl. Lineage: Eukaryota; Metazoa; Chordata; Mammalia; Artiodactyla; Bovidae.